This 465-nucleotide ribosomal RNA is filed under the name uncultured bacterium. Its description in RNAcentral is "partial 16S ribosomal RNA". It matches the Rfam family "Bacterial small subunit ribosomal RNA", at positions 338 to 795 of the family's 1533-position model. The record is from RNAcentral.
CCUACGGGAGGCUGCAGUAGGGAAUCUUCCACAAUGGGCGAAAGCCUGAUGGAGCAACGCCGCGUGGGUGAAGAAGGUCUUCGGAUCGUAAAACCCUGUUGUUAGAGAAGAAAGUGCGUGAGAGUAACUGUUCACGUGUCGACGGUAUCUAACCAGAAAGCCACGGCUAACUACGUGCCAGCAGCCGCGGUAAUACGUAGGUGGCAAGCGUUAUCCGGAUUUAUUGGGCGUAAAGGGAACGCAGGCGGUCUUUUAAGUCUGAUGUGAAAGCCUUCGGCUUAACCGGAGUAGUGCAUUGGAAACUGGGAGACUUGAGUGCAGAAGAGUAGAGUGGAACUCCAUGUGUAGCGGUGAAAUGCGUAGAUAUAUGGAAGAACACCAGUGGCGAACGCGGCUCUCUGGUCUGUACCUGACGCUGAGGUUCGAAAGCGUGGGUAGCAAACAGGAUUAGAUACCCGUGUAGUC